RNAcentral lists this long non-coding RNA (2091 nucleotides) under Sus scrofa (pig). Its description in RNAcentral is "lncRNA (ENSSSCG00030041355.1)". The record is from RNAcentral. Lineage: Eukaryota; Metazoa; Chordata; Mammalia; Artiodactyla; Suidae.
GAAGAAGGGGAGAAAAACUAUUAGCGAUCUCAUGCGUACAUUGGGAAUGCAAACAUUGUCUCCUCCUCUGUCAUCAUUGGUCUUGAGUUUUGACACCAGGAAGGGGACUAACAAAAGGAACGAUAUCUUCACGGAGGCGGCUUGUAUAUUCUGGAACUGUACCUUCUAUGGGGAGACCCGGCCCUUGGGUUCAUAGCUUGUUCCCCUGGGGGCUGAAUGGACUUGGGUCAUAAGGGAAGUUUGUGAUACUUCCAUCAGGCGUGGUUCGCCCUAGCUCGCUAUGUGCUGCUUCUCCCCGUUUUUGAAAAGAAGGCAUCUUCAUGCCACAUCAGGCUUCGCCUCAAAGGAGAACACGUUUGGAGUGCCUUUCAAGUGAUGCAAACUCCCUGUACCAAACCAGUGCACAGAGUUCAUUGGGCAGCACUUUGGCUCAUUUUCCUAGGUAUAGGACAGGCCUAGAUGGGAAAAAGGCAAGGUUUGGUCUCCGAAGUAAACCCGCACUGGGGCUGGUGUUCACUCACUGAAUAGGAUACACUUUGCAAGGAGAAACGUUGCACAUUCAUCUUUUGUGGAGUUUGUAAGAUUUCCGUCCGGCGUGGAUUGCCCUAGGUCACUGUGUGCUGCUUUUUCCCGCUUGUGAAAAGAAGGCGUUUUCAUGCCACAUCAGGCUUCUCCUCAAAGGAGAACACGUUUGGAGUGCCUUUCAAGCGAUGCAAACUCCCUGCACCAAACCAGUGCACAGAGAGCACUGGGUGGCACCUUGGCUCAUUUGCCAUAUGUAUAGGAGUGGCCUAGGUGGGAAAAAGGCAAGGGUUGCUUUCCCGAGCAAACCCGCACUGGGGCUGGUGUUCGUUCACUGAGACAGGAGCUCCUGAGUGUUACAGCUCUUAAAGUCACCUCUUGACCAGGUCAAAAUGACAACGGUCUUCUACCACCUGGCUUUCUUCAGGAAGUGAUAAAAUAUCCCAACCCAACCAGCUCCUGCCCCAGGCAUCCUGUCAGGCCCUAUUGGCCAGAAUAGGGUAAGAUGCUCUCCACACCCCCAGCCACUCCUAACAAAGAGGAAGGGGAGGACCGGGAUGGAUUUCCUGCAGUCACGAUGCAUUCCCAGGUAGGGUCCAUUCGGAGCUGGAGCUGCCAGCCUAAACCACAGCCACAGCAACCCGGGAUCUGAGCCGAGUCUGCAACCUACAACACAACUCACGGCAAUGCCAGAUCCUUAACCCCCUGAGCGAGGCCAUGUUCUCAUGGAUGCUAGUCAGGUGUGUCUUACCCACUGAGCCACAAUGGGAACUCCACAUACGUUGGCUUUUACCGUUGAGUUUUGAGAGUUCUUUUGUCUGAUGUGUGCUUCGCCAACAUGUGCUCCUAGUCUGCAGCUUGUCUUUUUGUCCUAAUACAAUCUUACAGAGAAAAAAAAAAAUCGCAUUUUUGAUCAAGUCCAGUAUUAUCAACUGUCUUGUUUUAUGGAUUGCGCUUUUAGUGUCAUGUCUAAAAAGAAUUCAGCAAACUAGGUCCUGAUAUUUCCUCCUGCGCUUCCUUCUGGAAGUAUUACAGUUUGGCAUUUUGCUUUUAAAUCUAUCCUGUGGUCAAUUCGAGUUCACUUUUUUCUCAGGGCUGAAGCUCAGGUCAGGUGUUUUGGUUCAUUUGCUUUCUUUUUGUUUCUAGGCCUGUAGGUGUUCAUUGCUCUGUGGCGGUUUGUGGCAUGGACCAUCCUUCUCCGUUAAAUCAGUUUCACCUUUUGCAGGAAUCAGUCCUAUGAGUGUAGGUCCUGCUCCGUUGGUCCUGUGCCUUUUCCUCCACCACCACCAGAGUGUCCAGGUUUUGUUCUCCCUGGCCUCAUGGAGGGGCGGGGGCUGGCCUGGGAAAUUCCCUCCAGACACCCACAGCCCCAUGGAGAUGCAUCAGCCCCCAGCGAGCCCUGGAAACACGGCAGGUGGAGUGUGUGCAUGUGUUGGUGGCGCCUGAGAGCCCUCCUCGCGGAGGACCUUGCCCCAGAGCGAGUGAACAUGUACAGGCCAAGUGGCGGGAGGAGGGGUGACACAGGUUGGGUUUCAUUGAGCACUGAACACGGCAGGUGGCCUGGUGACC